UCAUAGGAUGGCAGUGAGACUCAAAGGAGAGGAUGUGCGAAGCUAAGCAAGGACCAGCUGCAUCGUGCAAAGGUGCCACGGGGGAGUGGUGCGGAGUCAGAAUGGACACGUGGAGUCCCUGAGGACAGGGGAUCUAUGAAUGCACACCAUGUCGGGGGACUGGGUCAAAGGAAAGAUGGCCCAGAGCUUCCAGGUGAAAAUGCAGCAUCCCAGCCCUCCAGACAGUGAGAUUUCAGGCAGAUCGGGGUGUGCGUCUGGAGGAGGCAGGACAUUUUUUCUUCCCUGAAGAUUCUCCAGUCCAAAGAAGCCUGUGGUUCCGGGGGUGGAGAUGGACAGAUGACCCGGGGUGGGCUGCUAACCCAAGAGUGUGUUCUGAGAUGAGACAGCGCAACAGAGCAGCCGAGAGAAGGAGACGGAUUCCCGACUCACUUCCCGAGUUGGCUGCUGGCUGUAGAGCUCUGUUGCCUGAGAGCGGAUGCAUAAAGGAGAACACUAGCCCCUUAAAAUUCACUUGUCUUACAUUUAGAGAGCAGCUCCAAGCCCACAAAGUGCUGUCUCACAGAUUCUCGUUGCGUCUUCACAGCCAGAAGGCAGGGUCACUGCCCCCCCCUUUAAAGAGGAGCACACUGACCCAGAGAAGUUAAGUGACUUGCUCACAGUCACCCAGCUGGCUAGCAGCAGUGCCAGGACCAGAGCGCAGGUGUCUUGAGCCCUACAUGGAAAUCGUUCAUCUUGACACCACUCCCAGUGGAUGGAGGAGCCAGUAGAGAUGCUGCUGAAUGCUCCAUUUUUGUCUCAGGGGAUGAGGACCCCACUCCCAGCUCUAAGCUUGCCCUGGUUGGACUAUGGAAAAUCCUAUCUCCUUUGCCACUAAUUGGCUCAAGAAAAGCCAUUUGACACAAUUCUAGCUAAUGAGGGAUGAGGAAACUGAAGCCCAGAGAAGUAUUUUUACAUCCAUAGCUGAAGUAGAAGUUCCAGGUGAAGCGCCAUACACAUUUGGGAGGCUCCUGAUGUGGAGGACACAGUGGCCGGGAUCACCCUUCUGAAACGUCAGCAUGGCCUCAGGAACCACGUCCUGACUGUCUGGGAGUCUCUCACUCUUAUUCCCAGGGGGACCAAGAUGGGGAAACCAAGGGAAGAGAAGACCAGGUGAAGACAUGAGAAAGACAAGCAAGAGAUAAGGAUCAGCCACCACUCCUUUUACUCCUAAGGAAAUGGAGGCCCACGAAAGAUGAGAGCUACAUGACUAAUGAGUGGUAGAGCAUGGAUUCUGGCCCGGGUCUGCGGGGCUCCCAGCCCAUGCCAGUGUGAACAGAAGGAAUUCCUCUGGAAAGGCAAUUGCAUAUCAGUCCCAGCUCUUCCUGGGGCAGAAAGCUGACACCUGCACUUAGAGAAGGAAGCCAUCCUGUGGGCAGAGGGCCGAGCAUUUCCCCUAAAGCCAUCUCCCUCUUCUUUCAAGCCAGGCUUAAAUAUCCAAACCGCAAAGGAAGAUGAAAGAAGCUUGUUGAUGAAGUCCUCCACCCUGGGAAGAGGAAGAUAAAAAAAAGAGAAAGAAAGGGAAGACAAGAGUGGGGGGGGCGGGGGGAGGAAACAAUCCUUGACAAAUAUUUUCUGUUAAUAAAUUCCAUUUUGC
Molecule: long non-coding RNA, 1633 nt
Filed under: Equus caballus (horse)
Lineage: Eukaryota; Metazoa; Chordata; Mammalia; Perissodactyla; Equidae
Description: lncRNA (ENSECAG00000045984.1)
Source: RNAcentral